UACGUAGGGCGCAAGCGUUAUCCGGAAUUAUUGGGCGUAAAGAGCUCGUAGGCGGUUUGUCGCGUCUGCUGUGAAAGACCGGGGCUCAACUCCGGUUCUGCAGUGGGUACGGGCAGACUAGAGUGAUGUAGGGGAGACUGGAAUUCCUGGUGUAGCGGUGAAAUGCGCAGAUAUCAGGAGGAACACCGAUGGCGAAGGCAGGACUCUGGGCAUUAACUGACGCUGAGGAGCGAAAGCAUGGGGAGCGAACAGG
RNAcentral lists this ribosomal RNA (253 nucleotides) under uncultured bacterium. RNAcentral describes it as "partial 16S ribosomal RNA". It matches the Rfam family "Bacterial small subunit ribosomal RNA", at positions 524 to 776 of the family's 1533-position model. The record is from RNAcentral.